UACUACUGGCUUAGGUUUGGACCUAUGAAGUCACACACAUUAGAGUUCAUGAUCCAAUUGGAUGGUUGAUCAAUGAUUAAGAAUCAUUCUAGGGUUAAACGAUCAAUAUGAUUGACAUUUAACCUAGUGCAAGUGUUGUAGGAGGAUUGAUUAGCAAUUCAAUUAUUAAUUGGCUUAAUUUGAUUAAGCCAAUGGGCUG
Molecule: long non-coding RNA, 199 nt
Filed under: Elaeis guineensis (African oil palm)
Lineage: Eukaryota; Viridiplantae; Streptophyta; Magnoliopsida; Arecales; Arecaceae
Description: long non-coding RNA (EGUI_LNC058681)
Source: RNAcentral